CCUACGGGAGGCAGCAGUGAGGAAUAUUGGUCAAUGGGCGGGAGCCUGAACCAGCCAAGUCGCGUGAGGGACGACGGUCCUAUGGAUUGUAAACCUCUUUUGUCGGGGAACAAAGGCGCCCACGGGUGGGCGGAUGAGUGUACCCGAAGAAAAAGCAUCGGCUAACUCCGUGCCAGCAGCCGCGGUAAUACGGAGGAUUCAAGCGGUAUCCGGAUUUAUUAGGUUUAAAGGGUGCGUAGGCGGUUCGAUAAGUUAGAGGGGAAAUC
This 266-nucleotide ribosomal RNA is filed under the name uncultured bacterium. RNAcentral describes it as "partial 16S ribosomal RNA". It matches the Rfam family "Bacterial small subunit ribosomal RNA", at positions 338 to 601 of the family's 1533-position model. The record is from RNAcentral.